This is a small nuclear RNA of Otolemur garnettii (small-eared galago), 107 nucleotides long. Lineage: Eukaryota; Metazoa; Chordata; Mammalia; Primates; Galagidae. The record is from Ensembl.
GUGCUUUCUUCAGCAGCACGUAUACUAAAAAUUGGAACGAUACAGAGAAGAUUAGCAUGGCCCCUGCACAAAGAUGAAAGCAAUUUGGUGAAGUGCUCCAUAUUUAA